AGAGUUUGAUCCUGGCUCAGGAUGAACGCUGGCGGCGUGCUUAACACAUGCAAGUCGAACGAAGCGGCUGCAGGGAUUCCCUUCGGGGAGGAACAGUAGCUGUCUGAGUGGCGGACGGGUGAGUAACGCGUGGGCAACCUGCCCCAUACCGGGGGAUAACAGCCGGAAACGGCUGCUAAUACCGCAUACGCCCAGGAGGCUGCAUAGCUUCCUGGGGAAAACUCCGGUGGUAUGGGAUGGGCCCGCGUCUGAUUAGCUCGUUGGCGGGGUAACGGCCCACCAAGGCGACGAUCAGUAGCCGGCCUGAGAGGGCGGCCGGCCACAUUGGGACUGAGACACGGCCCAGACUCCUGCGGGAGGCAGCAGUGGGGAAUAUUGCACAAUGGGGGAAACCCUGAUGCAGCGACGCCGCGUGAGCGAUGAAGUAUCUCGGUAUGUAAAGCCCUAUCAGCAGGGAAGAAAGUGACAGUACCUGACUAAGAAGCCCCGGCUAACUACGUG
RNAcentral lists this ribosomal RNA (501 nucleotides) under uncultured Lachnospiraceae bacterium. RNAcentral's name for it is "bacterial SSU rRNA". It matches the Rfam family "Bacterial small subunit ribosomal RNA", at positions 8 to 507 of the family's 1533-position model. The record is from RNAcentral. Lineage: Bacteria; Bacillati; Bacillota; Clostridia; Lachnospirales; Lachnospiraceae.